This 989-nucleotide ribosomal RNA is filed under the name uncultured Verrucomicrobiota bacterium. RNAcentral's name for it is "bacterial SSU rRNA". It matches the Rfam family "Bacterial small subunit ribosomal RNA", at positions 58 to 1034 of the family's 1533-position model. The record is from RNAcentral. Lineage: Bacteria; Pseudomonadati; Verrucomicrobiota.
CAAGUCGAACGGAAAUCAAGGUGUAGCAAUACAUCGGGGUUUUAGUGGCGAAAGGGUGCGUAACACGUAGCUACUUACCUUCAAGUGGGGGAUAACGCCGAGAAAUCGGUGCUAAUACCGCAUGUGGACGAAAGUCUAGGACUGGGGAUCGCAAGACCUGGUGCUUGAAGAUGGGGCUGCGGCCUAUCAGCUAGUUGGCGGGGUAACGGCCCACCAAGGCUUAGACGGGUAGCUGGUCUGAGAGGACGACCAGCCACACUGGAACUGAGACACGGUCCAGACACCUACGGGUGGCAGCAGUCGAGGAUUUUUCUCAAUGGGGGAAACCCUGAAGGAGCGACGCCGCGUGAGGGAUGAAGGUCUUCGGAUUGUAAACCUCUGUCAUCUGGGAACAAUGCGCUCCACCUAACACGUGGAUCGUUGAUAGUACCGGAAGAGGAAGCAGUGGCUAACUCUGUGCCAGCAGCCGCGGUAAUACAGAGACUGCAAGCGUUGUUCGGAUUCAUUGGGCGUAAAGGGUGCGCAGGCGGUGUGCUAAGUCGGAUGUGAAAUCUCACAGCCUAACUGUGAUAGGUCAUUCGAAACUGGCAUGCUAGAGGACUGGAGAGGAGACUGGAAUAGUCGGUGUAGCGGUGAAAUGCGUAGAGAUCGACUAGAACACCGGUGGCGAAGGCGGGUCUCUGGACAGUUCCUGACGCUCAGGCACGAAAGCCAGGGGAGCAAACGGGAUUAGAUACCCCGGUAGUCCUGGCCCUAAACGGUGUUCACUUGGUGUGCGGGGAGUCGACCCCCUGCGUGCCGAAGCUAACGCGAUAAGUGAACCGCCUGGGAAGUACGGUCGCAAGAUUAAAACUCAAAGAAAUUGACGGGGGCCCGCACAAGCGGUGGAACAUGUGGCUUAAUUCGAUGCAACGCGAAGAACCUUACCUGGCCUUGACAUCUAUCGUGAAGGUGAUGAAGUCAUCGACGGCCCGAAAGGGUGCUGGGGA